RNAcentral lists this ribosomal RNA (162 nucleotides) under Froelichia floridana. RNAcentral describes it as "5.8S ribosomal RNA". It matches the Rfam family "5.8S ribosomal RNA". Rfam says of the family: 5.8S ribosomal RNA (5.8S rRNA) is a component of the large subunit of the eukaryotic ribosome. It is transcribed by RNA polymerase I as part of the 45S precursor that also contains 18S and 28S rRNA. Lineage: Eukaryota; Viridiplantae; Streptophyta; Magnoliopsida; Caryophyllales; Amaranthaceae. The record is from RNAcentral. RNAcentral also lists the same sequence under 8 other names.
AAAUGACUCUCGGCAACGGAUAUCUCGGCUCUCGCAUCGAUGAAGAACGUAGCGAAAUGCGAUACUUGGUGUGAAUUGCAGAAUCCCGUGAACCAUCGAGUUUUUGAACGCAAGUUGCGCCCGAAGCCUUUUGGCCAGGGCACGUCUGCCUGGGCGUCACAC